AGAAAUUUGGCCAUUUGGGAGGGAAAGAAUUUUUUUCCUGUUUGGAGUGGUGGUUGAAGCAAAGGAAUACCUCCAUCAAUAGAAUUUGGUGAGACAAACCAGUCAUAACCAAAUGGAUUAAAAUCAAUAUCAAACGCAUGUUCAAUGGUCCCCUCUAGUUAAAGGUAUGCUGAAAUGUAAUGUAGAUGUGACAUUCUUCCCAAAUGAGAACAACUUUGGUUUUGGGAUUGAGAGACACAUG
Molecule: long non-coding RNA, 241 nt
Filed under: Glycine max (soybean)
Lineage: Eukaryota; Viridiplantae; Streptophyta; Magnoliopsida; Fabales; Fabaceae
Description: long non-coding RNA (GMAX_LNC003522)
Source: RNAcentral